Molecule: ribosomal RNA, 449 nt
Filed under: uncultured bacterium
Lineage: Bacteria
Description: partial 16S ribosomal RNA
Rfam family: Bacterial small subunit ribosomal RNA
Source: RNAcentral
AACGAACGCUGGCGGCAUGCCUAACACAUGCAAGUCGAACGAACCCUCCGGGGUUAGUGGCGCACGGGUGCGUAACGCGUGGGAAUCUGCCCUUGGCUUCGGAAUAACAGUUAGAAAUGACUGCUAAUACCGGAUGAUGUCUUCGGACCAAAGAUUUAUCGGCCAGGGAUGAGCCCGCGUAGGAUUAGGUAGUUGGUGGGGUAAAGGCCUACCAAGCCGACGAUCCUUAGCUGGUCUGAGAGGAUGAUCAGCCACACUGGGACUGAGACACGGCCCAGACUCCUACGGGAGGCAGCAGUGGGGAAUAUUGGACAAUGGGCGCAAGCCUGGUCCAGCAAUGCCGCGUGAGUGAUGAAGGCCUUAGGGUCGUAAAGCUCUUUUACCCGGGAUGAUAAUGACAGUACCGGGAGAAUAAGCUCCGGCUAACUCCGUGCCAGCAGCCGCGGUAA